GAUGAACGCUGGCGGCGUGCCUAAUACAUGCAAGUCGAGCGAACAGACGAGGAGCUUGCUCCUCUGACGUUAGCGGCGGACGGGUGAGUAACACGUGGAUAAUCUACCUAUAAGACUGGGAUAACUUCGGGAAACCGGAGCUAAUACCGGAUAAUAUAUUGAACCGCAUGGUUCAAUAGUGAAAGACGGUUUUGCUGUCACUUAUAGAUGGAUCCGCGCCGCAUUAGCUAGUUGGUAAGGUACCGGCUUACCAAGGCAACGAUGCGUAGCCGACCUGAGAGGGUGAUCGGCCACACUAGAACUGAGACACGGUCCAGACUCCUACGGGAGGCAGCAGUAGGGAAUCUUCCGCAAUGGGCGAAAGCCUGACGGAGCAACGCCGCGUGAGUGAUGAAGGUCUUCGGAUCGUAAAACUCUGUUAUUAGGGAAGAACAAAUGUGUAAGUAACUAUGCACGUCUUGACGGUACCUAAUCAGAAAGCCACGGCUAACUACGUG
RNAcentral lists this ribosomal RNA (497 nucleotides) under uncultured bacterium. RNAcentral's name for it is "partial 16S ribosomal RNA". It matches the Rfam family "Bacterial small subunit ribosomal RNA", at positions 28 to 507 of the family's 1533-position model. The record is from RNAcentral.